UAUUGAUUGCUUAACUGGCCGAGUCAUUUUCGAAUUAUUGUAGGAAGCUUCACCAUCUGUUGUUUUCAUUAAAGACCUUGAAAUAGUUAGAAGCCCCAAGACCACUUCUGAUGAUGUCAAUCUUAUUGAGGAUGAAAAUGCAAAAGUUGACGGGACAGGUUCAGGCUUCAUCUGGGAUAACUUUGGUCACAUUGUAACCAAUCACCAUGUUGUAGCUAAAUUGGCAACAGAUGGGAGCGGAAUACAUUGUUGUAAGAUUUAUCUAGCAGACACAAGAGGCAAUGGCUUUUACAGGGAAGGAAAGAUUGUUGGUGUUGAUCCAGAAUAUGAUCUGGCUGUCCUUAAGUUGACUAAAGAAGACGUGCAAGCUUGUGUUAGAUAGCCUGAAGUGAACAUAAAGAACCUAGAUUGCAAAGAGCUAUCAAGGAAAGGGUUGAAAGAAUUGCAAGAGUGGAUGGUGGACAACUGGGUUCCUAGAAAUUGCUAAAUUCAAUUAGAUAUUGAAAUGGCUAUUGAGGGAAAUUUAGAGCUAGGAAAAUGACUAAAAUUAGAGUUGUUUCUGAAUAUGUUUCAAUGGAGAUUUGAGAUAUUUGAAGCUGGCCAACCUCAUAUUAAAAUGAAUUUCUUCUGAGUGUCUCUCAAUGGUCCUGUAUCCAAGCAAAGUUUGAUUGCUUCAAUUUUUUAGGAUGGUGCUUUAUUCUUGAAUGAGUUCCCAAAUAAUUUGUUUUCCUUUUUGUAUUCACUUGCUAACUAUGUACUUUGAGGUUCCAUAAUGAGAUGGAAGUGCUUUCAAACUCUUAUCACUAAUUCAUUAAUGGGUGCUACCUAUGUACUUUGAGGUUCCAUAAUGAGAUGGAAGUGCUUUCAAACUCUUAUUACUGAUUCAUUAAUGGGAUUUGCGUGGUUUCUUUUUUA
Long non-coding RNA from Quercus robur (English oak), 915 nucleotides. RefSeq lists it as uncharacterized. The transcript is spliced from 4 exons. The record is from RefSeq and is a predicted model, not a curated record. NCBI's taxonomy places the organism in Eukaryota, Viridiplantae, Streptophyta, Magnoliopsida, Fagales, Fagaceae.